This 478-nucleotide ribosomal RNA is filed under the name uncultured bacterium. RNAcentral's name for it is "partial 16S ribosomal RNA". It matches the Rfam family "Bacterial small subunit ribosomal RNA", at positions 28 to 523 of the family's 1533-position model. The record is from RNAcentral.
GACGAACGCUGGCGGCGUGCUUAACACAUGCAAGUCGAACGAUGAAGCCUUUCGGGGUGGAUUAGUGGCGAACGGGUGAGUAACACGUGGGCAAUCUGCCCUGCACUCUGGGACAAGCCCUGGAAACGGGGGCUAAUACCGGAUAGCACCUCCCGAGGCAUCUUGGGGGGUUGAAAGCUCCGGUGGUGCAGGAUGAGCCCGCGGCCUAUCAGCUUGUGGGUGGGGUGAUGGCCUACCAAGGCGACGACGGGAGGCCGGCCUGAGAGGGCGACCGGCCACGCUGGGACUGGGACACGGCACAGCCUCCUACGGGAGGCAGCAGUGGGGAAUAUUGCACAAUGGGCGAAAGCAUGAUGCAGCGACGCCGCGUGAGGGAUGACGGCCUUCGGGUUGUAAACCUCUUUCAGCAGGGAAGAAGCGCAAGUGACGGUACCUGCAGAAGAAGCGCCGGCUAACUACGUGCCAGCCGCCGCGGUAA